Molecule: long non-coding RNA, 627 nt
Organism: Oncorhynchus kisutch (coho salmon)
Lineage: Eukaryota; Metazoa; Chordata; Actinopteri; Salmoniformes; Salmonidae
Exons: 3
Source: RefSeq, a predicted model, not a curated record
AAAACGUCAGUGUGCGUCUCUGAACGCUCUGAAUUUACCGAACGCCCAGAGCGCACUCUGAACACAUCGCACAUCAUUGCUGCGUUUGGCUCUGUUGCUUCUUUAGGUCACUGUGGUAGUUCUUGUCAGUCUCCAGGGCAACCAGGACGCGUUUACUGAGGGGAUCCUGCUAGUGACUGAGAAACACGUUUCUGUCCACCAAUGGCCAGCCGGGGAACAGGCUUCCCGCUCCAUCAACCGCCCCUGCGCGUAUUUGUACGAGGCACAGAGAACAGGCACAGGUGCACAUUCAGCCACAGUGAAUUGAAGGGAUAACAUCACGAGGAGAUUGCUGGGGGAUUUCAGGACGAAGAGGAGACAUUGCUCCAGCCAGAGGGUGGUCUGUGUGGACUCGGCUUUGUUUCCAUCAUGCGUCACGAUGAGGCAGUGCUGUGUUAGCUGACUGUUCUCACUUCAGCUGUUACAUACUUCCAUGUCACCACACGUGACUGACUACCUGACCACGAUGGAAUAAGAUAAAUUAAUUAAUUUACAUUGCAUAAACGUUUCAGAGUCUAUUCCUUCUAUAAAAUCAACUCAUUCAAGUGUCAUCUGAAUAUUUGAAAUCCAACCUUUGUAAACAUUUAU